CCUACGGGAGGCAGCAGUGGGGAAUAUUGCACAAUGGGGGAAACCCUGAUGCAGCAACGCCGCGUGAGUGAUGACGGUCUUCGGAUUGUAAAACUCUGUCUUCAGGGACGAUAAUGACGGUACCUGAGGAGGAAGCCACGGCUAACUACGUGCCAGCAGCCGCGGUAAUACGUAGGUGGCAAGCGUUGUCCGGAUUUACUGGGCGUAAAGCGCGUGUAGGCGGCCUUCUCAGUUCGGUGUGAAAGCCCCCGGCUUAACCGGGGAAGUGCGUCUGGAACUGCUUGGCUUGAGUACGGGAGAGGGAGGCGGAAUUCCCAGUGUAGAGGUGAAAUUCGUAGAUAUUGGGAGGAACACCGGUGGCGAAAGCGGCCUCCUGGACCGAUACUGACGCUAAGACGCGAAAGCGUGGGGAGCAAACAGGAUUAGAUACCCUGGUAGUCCACGCGGUAAACGAUGGGCACUAGGUGUGGGGGGUAUCCACUCCUCCCGUGCCGUAGCUAACGCAUUAAGUGCCCCGCCUGGGGAGUACGGCCGCAAGGUUAAAACUUAAAGGAAUUGACGG
This 562-nucleotide ribosomal RNA is filed under the name uncultured bacterium. RNAcentral's name for it is "bacterial SSU rRNA". It matches the Rfam family "Bacterial small subunit ribosomal RNA", at positions 338 to 916 of the family's 1533-position model. The record is from RNAcentral.